AUGAAAACUCAUUUUGGCUAACGGUGACACCUAGUGGUGUAGGGAACCGGGUUUUCCACGUUAGGACGGAGGACAGACAGGCCCUUGGGAUGGAGGCCACAGCUCCCGUCAGAGCUAAGGCAGCUGGAGCUCUCUUGUGUUUACCUGAAGCCUCGGCUGGGUCUAAUACCCCUGCUGGUCCUAAGAAGUGCCUGGAAUCAGAAGACCCAGUCUACCUUUGUGGGAAAGGGGACUGGGAGGAGCAACCUGGAGAAGGAGUUCCACGGUGGGACUAGUGGAGAGGAGCUGGCCAUCACCUGGAAAACAAGCUACACAUCUCCUGAAAAACAGAAGUCCUGGAGAGGGAGACAGAAUUACUGGAGCCAGAAUUCAGUGCCAUGGAACUGGCUUUGGACCCCAGCUUGUGUGCUUUGAAGUCCUGGACACACAUGGUUUGGAAGCCCAGGCAGGAAUGGAAAGAACUGGCCUGCAGGAAGUGGUUCCGAGUCCUUCACCUGGCCUCAACCGACUCCUCCAAACUUACUCCAGGCAUUUUUCCAAUUACGAAUGAACUCUCUCCCUCAAGUAAGAGGGUCCAGGGCCAAAGCAGCUGCAGCAGGAAGCCUCCUCACCCAUCAUACCCAGCCCCCAGCCAGCACAACGGGGAGGUCAGCUCGAAGACAAGACAAAAGAGCACAGGGAAAAACAGGUGCUGCCUGAGUACACUGAAGCUGGAGAAAGGCUUUCACAGACCUCAGGCUUAGUAGAUGAAGAAAUCAUGCAGGUAAGGACUGCAAACCUUCCAUUUAAGUUACUUAACUCUGAGCCUCAGUUUUGUCCACUAUAAAAUGGGAAUGAUUACCAUCACCUCUUGGUACCUAUGGGUGUAGUAUUUAAAUAUAGCUUACACUUACAAUACUUAUUACAAUAUAAAUGUUACAUAGUUGUUAUAGUGCAUUCUUUAGGAAAUAAUGGCAAGACAAAACAAUCUGAACACAUGCAUUUUUUUCAAGUAUCUUCAGUCUGCAGUUUGUUGAACCUACAAAUAUGGAAACCAUGAGUAUGAAGGGCAAAGAAUACAUUAUCUUCUCAUGACGACAUUCCAAAGCUUACUUACAUAGGGUAAUGAGGAUGAAAAUGUCUUAUGCUAUAAAAUGCUUCAUGGGGCCAGGGAUUUAACUCAGUGGUUCCAGUGCCUGCUGCACAAGUGCAAGGUCCCGAGU
Heterocephalus glaber (naked mole-rat) is the source of this 1202-nucleotide non-coding RNA. NCBI's taxonomy places the organism in Eukaryota, Metazoa, Chordata, Mammalia, Rodentia, Bathyergidae. The record is from RefSeq and is a predicted model, not a curated record.